RNAcentral lists this unclassified non-coding RNA (520 nucleotides) under uncultured Paraglomus. RNAcentral describes it as "SSU rRNA". It matches the Rfam family "Eukaryotic small subunit ribosomal RNA", at positions 569 to 1096 of the family's 1831-position model. Lineage: Eukaryota; Fungi; Glomeromycota; Glomeromycetes; Paraglomerales; Paraglomeraceae. The record is from RNAcentral.
AGCAGCCGCGGUAAUUCCAGCUCCAAUAGCGUAUAUUAAAGUUGUUGUGGUUAAAAAGCUCGUAGUUGAACCUUGGGCCUGGCUGGCCGGUCCGCCUCACCGCGUGUACUGGUCCGGCCGGGUCUUUCCCUCUGUGGAACCCCAUGCCCUUCACUGGGUGUGGCGGGGAAACAGGACUUUUACUUUGAAAAAUUAGAGUGCUCCAGGCAGGCCUAUGCUCGAAUACAUUAGCAUGGAAUAAUAGAAUAGGACGUGCGGUUCUAUUUUGUUGGUUUCUAGGACCGCCGUAAUGAUUAAUAGGGGCAGUCGGGGGCAUCAGUAUUCAAUUGUCAGAGGGGAAAUUCUUGGAUUUAUUGAAGACUAACUACUGCGAAAGCAUUUGUCAAGGAUGUUUUCAUUAAUCAGGAACGAAAGUUAGGGGAUCGAAGACGAUCAGAUACCGUCGUAGUCUUAACCAUAAACUAUGCCGACUAGGGAUCGGACGAUGUUAUUUUUUGACUCGUUCGGCACCUUACGGGAA